UUAAGCGACUAAGCGUACACGGUGGAUGCCCUGGCAGUCAGAGGCGAUGAAGGACGUGCUAAUCUGCGAAAAGCGCCGGCGAGGUGAUAUGAACCCUUGACCCGGCGAUGUCCGAAUGGGGAAACCCAGUGUGACCUGUCACACUAUCGUUAGCUGAAUACAUAGGCUAACGAGGCGAACCGGGGGAACUGAAACAUCUAAGUACCCCGAGGAAAAGAAAUCAACCGAGAUUCCCCCAGUAGCGGCGAGCGAACGGGGAGGAGCCCAGAGCCUGAAUCAGCUUGUGUGUUAGUGGAAGCGUCUGGAAAGUCGCACGGUACAGGGUGAAAGUCCCGUACACGAAAAUGCACAGGCUGUGAGCUCGAUGAGUAGGGCGGGACACGUGGUAUCCUGUCUGAAUAUGGGGGGACCAUCCUCCAAGGCUAAAUACUCCUGACUGACCGAUAGUGAACCAGUACCGUGAGGGAAAGGCGAAAAGAACCCCGGCGAGGGGAGUGAAAAAGAACCUGAAACCGUGUACGUACAAGCAGUGGGAGCCUCUUUUAUGGGGUGACUGCGUACCUUUUGUAUAAUGGGUCAGCGACUUAUAUUCUGUAGCAAGGUUAACCGUAUAGGGGAGCCGAAGGGAAACCGAGUCUUAACUGGGCGUUAAGUUGCAGGGUAUAGACCCGAAACCCGGUGAUCUAGCCAUGGGCAGGUUGAAGGUUGGGUAACACUAACUGGAGGACCGAACCGACUAAUGUUGAAAAAUUAGCGGAUGACCUGUGGCUGGGGGUGAAAGGCCAAUCAAACCGGGAGAUAGCUGGUUCUCCCCGAAAGCUAUUUAGGUAGCGCCUCGUGAAUUCAUCUCCGGGGGUAGAGCACUGUUUCGGCUAGGGGGCCAUCCCGGCUUACCAACCCGAUGCAAACUGCGAAUACCGGAGAAUGUUAUCACGGGAGACACACGGCGGGUGCUAACGUCCGUCGUGAAGAGGGAAACAACCCAGACCGCCAGCUAAGGUCCCAAAGUCAUGGUUAAGUGGGAAACGAUGUGGGAAGGCCCAGACAGCCAGGAUGUUGGCUUAGAAGCAGCCAUCAUUUAAAGAAAGCGUAAUAGCUCACUGGUCGAGUCGGCCUGCGCGGAAGAUGUAACGGGGCUAAACCAUGCACCGAAGCUGCGGCAGCGACACUAUGUGUUGUUGGGUAGGGGAGCGUUCUGUAAGCCGUUGAAGGUGUGCUGUGAGGCAUGCUGGAGGUAUCAGAAGUGCGAAUGCUGACAUAAGUAACGAUAAAGCGGGUGAAAAGCCCGCUCGCCGGAAGACCAAGGGUUCCUGUCCAACGUUAAUCGGGGCAGGGUGAGUCGACCCCUAAGGCGAGGCCGAAAGGCGUAGUCGAUGGGAAACAGGUUAAUAUUCCUGUACUUGGUGUUACUGCGAAGGGGGGACGGAGAAGGCUAUGUCGGCCGGGCGACGGUUGUCCCGGUUUAAGCGUGUAGGUGUGUGCUCCAGGCAAAUCCGGUGCACUUUAACACUGAGGCGUGAUGACGAGGCACUACGGUGCUGAAGUGACAAAUGCCCUGCUUCCAGGAAAAGCCUCUAAGCAUCAGGUAACAUCAAAUCGUACCCCAAACCGACACAGGUGGUCAGGUAGAGAAUACCAAGGCGCUUGAGAGAACUCGGGUGAAGGAACUAGGCAAAAUGGUGCCGUAACUUCGGGAGAAGGCACGCUGAUAUGUAGGUGAAGUGAUUUACUCAUGGAGCUGAAAUCAGUCGAAGAUACCAGCUGGCUGCAACUGUUUAUUAAAAACACAGCACUGUGCAAACACGAAAGUGGACGUAUACGGUGUGACGCCUGCCCGGUGCCGGAAGGUUAAUUGAUGGGGUUAUCCCUCGGGAGAAGCUCUUGAUCGAAGCCCCGGUAAACGGCGGCCGUAACUAUAACGGUCCUAAGGUAGCGAAAUUCCUUGUCGGGUAAGUUCCGACCUGCACGAAUGGCGUAAUGAUGGCCAGGCUGUCUCCACCCGAGACUCAGUGAAAUUGAACUCGCUGUGAAGAUGCAGUGUACCCGCGGCAAGACGGAAAGACCCCGUGAACCUUUACUAUAGCUUGACACUGAACA
RNAcentral lists this ribosomal RNA (2097 nucleotides) under human gut metagenome. Its description in RNAcentral is "bacterial LSU rRNA". It matches the Rfam family "Bacterial large subunit ribosomal RNA", at positions 1 to 2123 of the family's 2925-position model. The record is from RNAcentral.